CCCACGACUGCUGCAUAACCAUUGUCAUGUUAUAUGCAGUUACACUGCACCAUCCGAUCAAGAUGCAUGAUCUCAUCCUUCGCCAGGUAAUCAGGAACCGUCACUGAUCUCACAUUUCUUUCAACUCUUAUCCUUGGAUUUUACCCUCUUGCUUCCAUCAUUUUCUUUAGAUGCCUUCUUUUUGCCUUGUUUUUCUUUAGAUGCUUUCUUUCUUUUUGCAGGCACUGUUCCCAUCUCGUUUUCCUUUUGGAUCUCGUUCACAUUCUGUGCUUGCACUGUAACUUCUCUGUCGGUAAAAUUGGAAUCAAAAACAUUAUUAGUAAGAUGCUGCUUGAGGAAAACCGCUGAAAGAAGCUGCCUCCCACAAGCGCAAAUAGCUAUCAAGACCACAAGAUCCUAUCACAGGGAGCUCAGGAUGCUUGGCAAUGGAUCUGAUGCUCCCAGAACACUUCCCCAAAAAGCAUCCUAACAAUUUCCCUGUGCGUAUGUCAACAGAUGCAAGAUCACCAGACCCAUUUCCUAUAUAGAUUGUAUGGCCAUCUUGAUCUUCAGUGACUGCUUUAAUGGGGGUCUCGCAGAAAUCAAAUGAAAUUACAGGUCUGCGCUGAGCAGAAGUAUCAUACAGGCGAACCUGAUGGCUGUUGGUGCCAGCUACAAAUUUACGGUGAUCAUUGUUAGUCAGGAAUGUUGCAGAUGUAAACCAUGUUGGAGUAAAAAUACCAAGGCUGUUUUUAGGAGGAGGUUUUGCAGUCCAAAUCUUAGAACACUUCUCAAGAUCCCAUAGAUUGACUUCCACAGCUUUCCCUCCAAAUAAAGCAUAGUUUUCACUUCCAUCCACUUUAGAACAUAAAAUAUUACCAGAAGCACUAACUUUCCAGGUUCUAGAGGUACAAGUACUGGCAUCAUCUACAGUCGAACUGGUAACUUCAAUGGACCGCAUGCUUGCAUUUCCUUUUGUUGUACAUGCAAGCAAAGUGCAUGACCCAGAUAAUCUCUGUCUUUUGAAUAAAUGCAAACCAACAACAGCAUCGUCCUCAGGUUGAGUACCAGCAUCACCAACACUGGAAAUUGAAACGUCAAUUUCCCCAUUAAGUGGAUUGAGUACUUCAAUCACACCACU
Molecule: unclassified non-coding RNA, 1120 nt
Filed under: Hevea brasiliensis (rubber tree)
Lineage: Eukaryota; Viridiplantae; Streptophyta; Magnoliopsida; Malpighiales; Euphorbiaceae
Source: RNAcentral